Hemiscyllium ocellatum (epaulette shark) is the source of this 321-nucleotide long non-coding RNA. RefSeq lists it as uncharacterized. The record is from RefSeq and is a predicted model, not a curated record. Lineage: Eukaryota; Metazoa; Chordata; Chondrichthyes; Orectolobiformes; Hemiscylliidae. The transcript is spliced from 4 exons.
GCCCGACGCAGAGUCGCUGUAAUAAAUGCUCGGGAAGUUAUAGAGAGAAAGGAGACGAUCCCAGUGAUUAAUGCCAAAGCCCUGUUGCCUGGGGAGAGGGUGAUGUUUGACUUUCUUGUACAGCUGCAGUUUGUGUGGUGAAGGUGCUCCCACAAUGUGGUUGGAUUCCACCAUUUGCCAAUAUGCGAUUUGAACAAGGACUUCAGUUGUACAUUUUAAUAUUCUGGAUAAAAGUUAAAUACAUUAGGAUACUACAGGUGGACAUUCAGAUGGUAAUCUCAGUCAUUGUAACACCAAACUUUGAUUGAAUUAGUCAGUUCA